UUCAAUCUGGGAGAAUGAGAGAACAAUGUCACAAUCUUUUGCUGUGGAUGAACAAAUCAACAAGUUAACAACAUUGUGAUGUCACAGCAAAUGUUUGGUGGGAAGGAUGACAGACAAAGCAAGAAACUAGAAAAAUCUUAAAAGGUUUUGGUUGGUACCUGUUCACUUGGAUUAGCAAUAGCUAAUUUACGUCCACCACCUCCCCAUUGCAAGAUUCUUUUUGACGCGCGGAAGGACAAAUUCGAUUGAAAUACGAUUUGCCAGGUCUGCGUGAAAAACUUUCGGCGUUCUAUAAGAAGGUCGUGUGGAUCUAAAAGUAUUUACCUUAGUUGACCAGAUAACCAAGUUUCCUUGCAAGUCAAUAGAAGUUAGAAACAUGCCGUCAGGCGAAAAGGAUAUGUCCCAAAUAGAAUUGGUUUGUACGAGCAAACUAAGGACUGGAUCGCUAUUUCCACAGCUAUCCCAUAACACUACAGAGCCGUCCUCUAAUCCGCUGUACUUAAUUUCAAAAGAAGCAGGUUUAAUUUAUAAAAUUAAUUUGAAAAAUUUCAGAAAGUUUUUAACCAGGCAAUCAACGUCCAACUUGAUUCAGCUAUCGAGUCACCAAAAAGGUACCAAGCUAAACAUGUGGGUCUUUUCAUUCUUUCACUUUUAACUAAAUAAAUAGGCUCAUUUUUGUCCAUCGA
This is a long non-coding RNA of Daphnia magna, 686 nucleotides long. RefSeq lists it as uncharacterized. The record is from RefSeq and is a predicted model, not a curated record. NCBI's taxonomy places the organism in Eukaryota, Metazoa, Arthropoda, Branchiopoda, Diplostraca, Daphniidae. The transcript is spliced from 2 exons.